AACACAACGUUUUCUUUUCUAUAACCUAAUAUCCAAGAGGUUUUUAUCUCCUCGAUUAGUCGAUUCAUAGCCUCCGAUGAUACUCCUGGCCAGGCCUAAGAUCUGGUGAUACCAUGAAUUCACAAUUUCAGAUUCAAAAUCCGGCUUCAUCUGUCAAACUCUCCUCUCUUCUCCCCUGUCACGAGAGAGCAAAUGGCUACAAAAAUCAGUAAAGGAGUCACCUUCAACCUGAUAUAAUCUUUUGUCUGCAACAAUUUCUUGGAAGACUUGCGCUGAGCGGCGGAUUGGUGUUGUCUCAGACGAUUGAAGUGUGAAGACGAUCCUAGAAAGACUGCAGGAACUAGAAGGAUGAUGUACUUCCAUGGUUUUACUUCUUCUGGGUGAUCUAUCAUGGAUCACUGAUUCAGUAUGCAACUGAGGUAAUCUGUACUUCAGCAAGGCAGUAUCUUUGAGAUUGGAACACAAUGAACAAUGGAAGAAAUGUCACAGUAUCUGUGAAGGCUCUCAGAUUAUCUAUGAUGAUGGUUCAAAGAUUCAUUCAUGUAACAAGAAUGAGUUGAUUGUUUUAUAGUGUUGUUGAAACUUUUUAAACAGGAAAUAGCGUCAUUAUUAUUAUCAUUGGUUGUUUUACA
This is a long non-coding RNA of Raphanus sativus (radish), 632 nucleotides long. RefSeq lists it as uncharacterized. NCBI's taxonomy places the organism in Eukaryota, Viridiplantae, Streptophyta, Magnoliopsida, Brassicales, Brassicaceae. The record is from RefSeq and is a predicted model, not a curated record. The transcript is spliced from 3 exons.